UACAGAGGUCUCAAGCGUUGUUCGGAUUCAUUGGGCGUAAAGGGUGCGUAGGUGGCGUGGUAAGUCGGGUGUGAAAUUUCGGAGCUUAACUCCGAAACUGCAUUCGAUACUGCCGUGCUUGAGGACUGGAGAGGAGACUGGAAUUUACGGUGUAGCGGUGAAAUGCGUAGAUAUCGUAAGGAAGACCAGUGGCGAAGGCGGGUCUCUGGACAGUUCCUGACGCUGAGGCACGAAGGUCAGGGGAGCAAACGGG
This 253-nucleotide ribosomal RNA is filed under the name uncultured bacterium. Its description in RNAcentral is "partial 16S ribosomal RNA". It matches the Rfam family "Bacterial small subunit ribosomal RNA", at positions 524 to 776 of the family's 1533-position model. The record is from RNAcentral.